Long non-coding RNA from Ceratitis capitata (Mediterranean fruit fly), 1500 nucleotides. RefSeq lists it as uncharacterized. Lineage: Eukaryota; Metazoa; Arthropoda; Insecta; Diptera; Tephritidae. The record is from RefSeq and is a predicted model, not a curated record. The transcript has 2 exons.
AAUACAGGUAUGUGCAAAUAUGUAUACAUUUAGUUAUUAUGAAAAUUGGGCAAUAUGAAUAUGUAUGUGUCGAGUUGUGUUGAAUAUUAAAGUAAGACACAACAACAACAUGUACAUAACGCAUUUAAACUGCAAUUAGCUUAAACUUAAUUUCAAACUUUGGGAAUUGCUUAGACUUUUUUUUAACAAGGCAAUAGAACAAAAAGUAUUUAAAAACGAAAAGUUUGUUAGAAUUUUUGAACAGAAAACAGCAAAGUAAACUUAAGCUAAUUUGGACUUUUUAGCUUAGUAGCAUAUGAAAUUAUUUGUGUGACAAGAAAACCUUAGAAAUAAAUAUUAUUACGCACGACAUAGACUAACGAGAGGAGAAAUCUCUACGUUUCAAAGAUGCAGCAUACAUACACGUAUGUGCAAAAUAUAUUAGGGGACUUGCAAGCGGCUGGUAAUUUUACGCAAGCCUUUAUCACUAUGAAUAAAACUCCAAUCUUCAAAAUGUGUUAACUAUAAUUUAUUAAUUAUGCUAUUAUUUCCAGUAUUAGUUCAAAAUUUUUAUUUUAAACAUUAUGCUUUUUUUACAUUUAUGAUAAAUUAUUUUGAAGAAUGUGAUUGAAUAUUUCUUAUAGCGCAACACUCUCUGUAAAUAAAUAUUACUAGUCGCUUCUCGGUUUUAAAUAUAGCUGCUCGAAAUAUAAUUAUACAACUUUUGUAUCACAGUAUGCAGUAAACCAGCCAUUGACAAUAUGAUUAUUUCAAAAUUAAUUUCUGAAACUUCUUAGAAAAUCAACGUCUGGUAAAAAAGUACUCUAAAAUUAUUGAUAAUAUAUUUGAAAAGUGAAAUGAUUGAUUGUGCCAAUUAAACGUUCAAUCGGUGCAUGACCAAAAAUCGGUCGUAUAUACAAAUCCUUAAAAAAUUGGUCAACUUUUUUAAAUGGGAUUACCACAACGAAAAAUUGUCAGCAAUAUUUUUAAACAAUAUUUUGUCAAAUAAUCAUAUUUAUACUUUUGUCUGGAUAUUGUGUACUGUGUAUUGUAUAUAAUAUACAUUGUGGUUUUUAUUUUUCCUGUUUUAUAUUAAUAGUUACAUUGUUUUAUUUGUAUAUUUUAAUGUGUAUAGUUUGACUUAUACAUUUUGACUGAAAGUGUAAUUUUAAUACAUAAAUUAAGUGUAGAAUAAAGACGGGCUUUGACAUGAGCUCUUUAAUUAUAUAAUUAAAUAACAAUAUAUACCGUUUCUUAAAUAUAAAUAAAUCAUUAUUUAUAUCUCGGCUGGAGGAAGCAGCAUGAUAUUUUAAAAACUUGCAAUUGGAACUAUGUAUGUUAGUAUACAUUUAAUUUUCAUUUUAAAUACAUAUGGACGUGUAUGUUGUAAAUUUUAACACCCACAUCGUAACAGAUAUUCAAUUGAAGUAAUUGAUAUAAAUAAAUAGUAGACUUAUGAAAAUCAGUACAUGUAAAAAUGUAAUAAUUGCAAAUAAAGUAACUAAAUAAUUUUAGCGCUAA